RNAcentral lists this ribosomal RNA (257 nucleotides) under Gephyrocapsa oceanica. RNAcentral describes it as "partial Bacterial large subunit ribosomal RNA". It matches the Rfam family "Bacterial large subunit ribosomal RNA", at positions 1160 to 1421 of the family's 2925-position model. Lineage: Eukaryota; Haptophyta; Isochrysidales; Noelaerhabdaceae. The record is from RNAcentral.
UGCGCCGAAAAUUUACCGGGGCUAAGCAUAGUACCGAAACUGUGGAUGCAUCGAAAGAUGCGUGGUAGGAGAGCGUUCUAAGUGCGGUGAAGGUUAACCGAGAGGAUAAUUGGAGCGCUUAGAAGUGAGAAUGCCGGUAUGAGUAGCGAAAGACAGGUGAGAAUCCUGUCCGCCGAAAGACUAAGGUUUCCUGGGGCAGGCUCGUCCGCCCAGGGUAAGUCGGGACCUAAGGCAAGGCCGAGAGGCGUAGUCGAUGG